UGCAUCGGCCGGGAAUCGACCCCGGGCCGCCCGCGUGGCAGGUGAGCACUCUCUCCACUGAAUUACCGAUGC
This 72-nucleotide transfer RNA is filed under the name Cordylochernes scorpioides. RNAcentral's name for it is "tRNA-Gly". The record is from RNAcentral. Lineage: Eukaryota; Metazoa; Arthropoda; Arachnida; Pseudoscorpiones; Chernetidae.